Panthera uncia (snow leopard) is the source of this 1335-nucleotide long non-coding RNA. RefSeq lists it as uncharacterized. Lineage: Eukaryota; Metazoa; Chordata; Mammalia; Carnivora; Felidae. The transcript is spliced from 3 exons. The record is from RefSeq and is a predicted model, not a curated record.
UCCAAAAUCAGUUUUACUGGACUGAAAUCAAAGUAACGGCAAGGCCACAAUCCUCUGAAGGCUCUAGAGAAGAAUCUGUUCCUUGCCUUUUCCAACUGCUGGUGGGUAUAUAGGCAUUCCUUGGCUUAUGGCCAUAUCACUCCAAUCUCUACCCUCAUAGUUCUAAUGCCUUCUCUUCUAUCUGAAAUCUCCUUCUGUCUCCCUCUUAUAAGGAUACUUGUGAUUGCAUUUAGGCCUUGCUUGGAUGAUCCAGGAUAAGCUCUCCAUCUGAAGAUCUUUAAUCAGAUCUGCCAAGUGUUGGCCAUCCAUACAGGAACCUUUCAGGUAGUAAUGUGUGUCAACUGGGAAAAAAAGAGAACGCAGACAAACAAGUGAAAGAGUUACAGAAGGCUAAUCCCAAAAGGAGAUGUUGCCUUUUCCAAGUUGCAACCGAACUUAAAGGGCUAUAAGAAGUCUUCACCAUUUUCAGGAGUUCAAGAUAGAUCAUCAGAGAAUUUGGGUGAAUCUCUCAUAAUGUACAAAUCCAGAGAGAAAGGUAAAGAAAGAUGUAAAGGGGGAAGAAAAAGAAAACAAAAUGGAAAAAAUACAAAAAUGUAAUGUUCACACUGCCUGUUCAAUCAUAAAUAAAUACAGCAAAACAUAUUCACUGCUAUGCUCCUUUCAUCUAAUGAAAAAAGGGAAAAAAACAAGACAAUAACACAUAUCAUAAAAUACCUCAACUUUUCUAUUUUACCUCCAUAGCAAGAUCACUAUGCAAGGCGAGCAAAAUCUUUUCAGAUGGGGUCAGGCAGUAGAGCAGUUCUAGAGACCAUUCCUUAAUACUAUUCAAAGUCUUUUAUAACAGGGGCGCCUGGGUGGCUCAGUUGGUUAAACAUCCAGCUUCGGCUCAGGUCACGAUCUCACAGUCUGUGGGUUUGAGCCUUGUGUCAGGCUCUGUGCUGACAGCUCAGAGCCUGGAGACUGUUUCAGAUUCUGUGUCUCCCUCUCUCCCUGCCCCUUCCAUGCCCCCUCAAAAAUAAACAAACAUUUAAAAAAAUAAUAAGUCUUUUAUAACCUGAUUUACCAUCUGCUCUGGAGUCCUCAAGUUUAAAAUUAUUUCUAUCACCUACCCACUUUUCAAGCGCUAAAAGUAAAGGCGGGGGAGGGCGCCUGGGAGGCUUAGUCAGUUAAGCGACUGACUUCAGCUCAGGUCAUGAUCUCAUGGUUUGUGGGUUUGAGUCCCGCAUCGGGCUCUGUGCUGACAGCUCAGAGCCUGGAACCUGCUUCGGAUCCUGUGCCUCCCUCUCUCUCUGCCCAUCCCCUGCUCACGCUCUGUCUCUGUCUCUCUCAAAAAUA